This is a long non-coding RNA of Caenorhabditis elegans, 1059 nucleotides long. Ensembl annotates it as ncRNA. Its record names the gene linc-40. The record is from Ensembl. Lineage: Eukaryota; Metazoa; Nematoda; Chromadorea; Rhabditida; Rhabditidae.
AUAUGAAUGCCUCAAUUUUUAGAAAACCGAGAAAACUUGAAAACUGACCGAGUUAUGAUUGAAAAAGUAGAUUCGCGAAAAUGGGAAAGUGUGCAAAAUUUGGCACUUAUUCGUCUUGCUCGGCCGACUCAUAGAACUUUACUCAAUUCUGAGUUGAAAAUCGUGUUCAACGUAUUUUUUUACGUGGGGUAGAAAAAAAAUAUCAAAAAAGAUGAACAAAACCCGAAUUUUAAUUCAAUUAAAACAUGGUUUUUUGGGGGUAAAAAGAGCAAAAAAAUUUUUUUUCAAACUGGGGAAAGCCGCCCUGAGCUCAGUUUUGCUCCAAACUAAGUGCCGUUUUCUGCUCCACCGUGGGGCAAAAUAUUUCUAGUAGGAUUUCAAAUAUUAGAGCAUGAAGUCACGCGGCUCUGGAGUUAUUAAUGAAAACGAAGUGGGACAUUUUUUCGCAAGCCAAAAAAAGUGUCAAAAAACGCGAAAAAGGGGCGGAGUCUGCACACUCGGCAUUUAUUAGAGGCUGCUUGGCAGAAUUUCAAUUUUUUGGUACUUUUUUUUGUUUGAGCUCACUCCAUAUUUUUUCGCCCUCCUUCCCUUGUCAGCGGUCUCCCGUCCCAAUUUUAUUGCACCGAACACCCUUAAAAAUGCAUCGACGUAUUUUUUUCCACACAUCUUCUCAUGUCUCCGUCUCUUCUCUCUCGCCUACCCUCGACCCUUCCGCAGAAAUAUUCAUUCCGUUUUUUGGAGGCGACUUGUGUGGUUUGCCAAAAAUUUUCUAUUGAUUUUUACUGAUUUUGCUGAUUUUUUAACUGAUUAUUUGGAUUUUCAUAAAUUGAAGUGACAAGCAUUCUAACCUCGACGAGUCAAGCGCCAAAGUCGUUCCCUCAUCAAGAGAACCUAAAACAGCCCCAUUUUACGAAGUCCUCAACUUCAAAAGUUCGUGCUGAAAAGGAUUGAAAAAGGGACAAAAUGAAAAAACGGAUCAUCUAUAAUGCAGCAAUCGUCAUCUUGAAAUUUUUGUAAAUUUUUUAAUAUUUAAUUUUAUUAUCAAAUGAAAAAAAUUGA